Molecule: long non-coding RNA, 670 nt
Filed under: Homo sapiens (human)
Lineage: Eukaryota; Metazoa; Chordata; Mammalia; Primates; Hominidae
Description: HSALNT0038106
Source: RNAcentral
CUCCCCCUCCCCUCUCCGCUCUCGCUCUCCGUGAUUUAUUACUUGCCCUGCUGCUUCUGACAAACUAUUUGUAGGAAAAUGAGAUUUGGUCCGCGCUGGAUGGCUCCUCUGGGAGGCAGGCGUGGGGGUCGGGUGUCGGAGGCCCCGUGCGCCCCCCCACCCCCCACCAGAGCCCACGGCGCUCACGGAGCUCUUUAAGAUAAAUGAGCAAAAUUAAGAGACUCACUGGGGGAAGAAAACACUGGAUGGGAGCGAGCGAGAGCGGAUGGUACUUGGUUUCCUCCCAGAAAUGCAUCCACGUGCGCCCCACUGGGGCCUCCCCCAUCUGCUGCAGACUCCAGGGAACUUCCUCCCCUCAAAGACGAACUUCCAGCCCUGGAGCAUGUUUCUUCCUUUCCUGGGAUGUGGCGCUGAAAAGGGCAGAAACCUCUAGUAAGGCACAAGCAACAGAUUGGGGGUGGAGCAGCAGGUCUCUUUGGAGGUGGCCUGGAAGAAACCGGACAGAGAGGAUGGGAAGGGGAGAAACAGAAGAGUGUGACGAGAUCAUGAAGGAAAGAGGAGGCGUCUACUGAAUGUAAGGUAGAGCCAAAGGCAUCUAUUGAUGACUGAAGAAGAGGCAUGAAUAUGACAAAAACAGGAAGGGAAAUUGAGAAUCCGCCAAGAAGAAAGA